GCCCUCGUGGCGGAAUUGGUAGACGCAGCGGACUUAAAAUCCGUGGGUUUGUGACCUUGGGAGUUCAAGUCUCCCCGUGGGCACCA
This 86-nucleotide transfer RNA is filed under the name Wolbachia endosymbiont of Howardula sp. RNAcentral describes it as "tRNA-Leu". It matches the Rfam family "tRNA". From Rfam's summary of the family: Transfer RNA (tRNA) molecules are approximately 80 nucleotides in length. Their secondary structure includes four short double-helical elements and three loops (D, anti-codon, and T loops). Lineage: Bacteria; Pseudomonadati; Pseudomonadota; Alphaproteobacteria; Rickettsiales; Anaplasmataceae. The record is from RNAcentral.